Molecule: ribosomal RNA, 1000 nt
Filed under: Chryseobacterium joostei
Lineage: Bacteria; Pseudomonadati; Bacteroidota; Flavobacteriia; Flavobacteriales; Weeksellaceae
Description: bacterial SSU rRNA
Rfam family: Bacterial small subunit ribosomal RNA
Source: RNAcentral
GGCAUGCUGCAGCUAAACAUGCAGUCGAGCGGUAGAGUCUGUGCUGAGACUUGAGAGCGGCGGAGGGUGCGGAACACGUGUGCAACCUGCCGUUAUCUGGGGGGGAGCAGUUCGAAAGGAAGAUUAAUACCCCAUAAUAUAAGAAACGGCAUCGUUCUUUAUUGAAAACUCGCGUGGAUAUAGAUGGGCACGCGCAAGAUUAGAUAGUUGGUGAGGUAACGGCUCACCAAGUCUGCGAUCUUUAUGGGGCCUGAGAGGGUGAUCCCCCACACUGGUACUGAGACACGGACCAGACUCCUACAGGAGGCAGCAGUGAGGAAUAUUGGACAAUGGGUGAGAGCCUGAUCCAGCCCUCCCCCGCGAAGGAGGACAGCGCUAUCGGUUGUAAACUUCUUUUGUAUAGGGAUAAACCUUUCCUCUUGAGGGAAGCUGAAGGUACUAUACGAAUAAGCACCGGCCAACUCCGUGCCAGCUGCCGCGGUAAUACGGAAGGUGCAAGCGUUAUCCGGAUUUAUUAGGUUUAAAGGGUCCGUAGGCGGAUCUGUAAGUCAUUGGUGAAAUCUCACAGCUCAACUGUGAAACUGCCAUUGAUACUGCAGGUCUUGAGUGUUGUUGAAGUAGCUGGAAUAAAUAAUGUAGCCGGUGAAAUGCAUAGAUAUUACUUAUAACACCGAUUGCGAAUGCAGGUUGCUAACCAACAACUGACGCUGAUGACGAAAGCGUGGGGAGCGAACAGGAUUAGAUACCCUGGUAGUCCACGCCCUAACGAUGCUACUCCUUUUGGGUUUUCGGAUUCAGAUACUAAGCGACAGUGAUAAGUUAGCCACCUGGGGAGUACGAACGCAAGGUUUGAAACUCAAAGGAAUUGACGAGUGCCCGCACACGCCGUCGAUUAUGUGGAUUUAAUUCAAUGAUACGCUAGGAAGCUUACCACCGCAUCAAAUGCGAAAUGAGCGGCUGAGAAUAAGCAUUUCAUCGGUCAUUUUCAACGUGCUGCACG